UGGUGACACUCUACAGCUGGCAGGAGAGGGAGCAACGACAACCGGCCCCAAUAAUCGGCGAUUACGCACUGUUCAUCUUCCAAAACAUCUUCAGUGUGUCGACAUGAGAGUUGUUCAGAUUUCCCAAUCCCGGUCAUUUGGAUAUAUGUUCCGGGUUGAAGAACCGAACAAGGAUGCAUGUUAUGGCGAAUCCGGUGGAGCAGUGAUGUUCAACGGCAAGAUUUAUGGUGUGAUUUCUAUUGAUGUCUCACACUUUGCAUGCAAGAAACCAGUUUCAAUCAUGGAUGUGUGUGAAUACAUUGGAUGGAUAAAAACAACAAUUGGCCAUAAAUAAAACAAACUACUGUGAAAUAAAAUUCUCAUCAAAUUUCCUCUCAGAUAUAAUUUUAUAGUUGUAUCUUGAUCUGUUUGAUCCACCUUUGUAGAAUUAGGAUAAAUCAAUAGCUUUGUUUUUUCUCACCUGAUCUUGAUCUCCCUAGUUCAGUGGUUCUUAACCUUUUAUGAGGUACCGAACCCAUCAGUUUCAUAUGCGCAUUCAUCGAACCUUUCUUUAGUGAUAAAUAAAAUAAAAACUUUUUCCAAAUUCAAGACGUAUGUAUGUUUUUUUGCUGGUGCACACAAUGAGCAAUGCAUGAACGUCACCUUGCUCAAAGAACAAAACCAUGAACUCACAGCAAAUUGCAGUAUUACUUUAUUCUGGCCCCC
Molecule: long non-coding RNA, 705 nt
Organism: Xiphophorus hellerii (green swordtail)
Lineage: Eukaryota; Metazoa; Chordata; Actinopteri; Cyprinodontiformes; Poeciliidae
Exons: 3
Source: RefSeq, a predicted model, not a curated record